RNAcentral lists this transfer RNA (81 nucleotides) under Escherichia coli. RNAcentral's name for it is "tRNA-Ser(gga)". The record is from RNAcentral. RNAcentral also lists the same sequence under 96 other names. Lineage: Bacteria; Pseudomonadati; Pseudomonadota; Gammaproteobacteria; Enterobacterales; Enterobacteriaceae.
CCGCCAUUAGCUCAUCAGGAAGAGCAGACGACAACCAGGAUUGUUGUAUGGUACGGGGUUCGAGGCCCCGAUGGCGGUCCA